CCCUUAGAUGUUCUGGGCCGCACGCGCGCUACACUGAUGCAUUCAACGAGCCUAUCCUUGACCGACAGGUCCGGGUAACCUUUGAAUCUGCAUCGUGACGGGGAUAGAUUAUUGCAAUUAUUAAUCUUCAACGAGGAAUGCCUAGUAGGCGCAAGUCAUCAGCUUGCGUCGAUUACGUCCCUGCCCUUUGUACACACCGCCCGUCGCUCCUACCGAUUGGGUGUGCUGGUGAAAUGUUCGGAUCGGCCGUUUGUCGCGGUUUCCGCGUCAUGUGGCUGAGAAGUUCAUUAAACCCUCCCACCUAGAGGAAGGAGAAGUCGUAACA
RNAcentral lists this ribosomal RNA (325 nucleotides) under uncultured eukaryote. RNAcentral's name for it is "partial 18S ribosomal RNA". It matches the Rfam family "Eukaryotic small subunit ribosomal RNA", at positions 1470 to 1796 of the family's 1831-position model. The record is from RNAcentral.